This 483-nucleotide ribosomal RNA is filed under the name uncultured bacterium. Its description in RNAcentral is "partial 16S ribosomal RNA". It matches the Rfam family "Bacterial small subunit ribosomal RNA", at positions 28 to 523 of the family's 1533-position model. The record is from RNAcentral.
GACGAACGCUGGCAGCGUGCUUAACACAUGCAAGUCGAACGAUGAAGCUGGAGCUUGCUCCGGUGGAUUAGUGGCGAACGGGUGAGUAACACGUGAGCAAUCUGCCCUUCACUCUGGGAUAACUGCGGGAAACUGUAGCUAAUACCGGAUACGAGACCUUGGGGCAUCCCAGGGUCUGGAAAGAAUUUCGGUGAAGGAUGAGCUCGCGGCCUAUCAGCUAGUUGGUGAGGUAAUGGCUCACCAAGGCGACGACGGGUAGCCGGCCUGAGAGGGUGACCGGCCACACUGGGACUGAGACACGGCCCAGACUCCUACGGGAGGCAGCAGUGGGGAAUAUUGCACAAUGGGCGAAGGCCUGAUGCAGCAACGCCGCGUGAGGGAUGAAGGCCUUCGGGUUGUAAACCUCUUUUAGUAGGGAAGAAGCGCAAGUGACGGUACCUACAGAUAAAGCACCGGCUAACUACGUGCCAGCAGCCGCAGUAA